Molecule: ribosomal RNA, 310 nt
Filed under: uncultured Pelagibacterales bacterium
Lineage: Bacteria; Pseudomonadati; Pseudomonadota; Alphaproteobacteria; Candidatus Pelagibacterales
Description: SSU rRNA
Rfam family: Bacterial small subunit ribosomal RNA
Source: RNAcentral
ACGUACGCUGGCGGCACGCCUAACACAUGCAAGUCGAACGCAGUAGCAAUACUGAGUGGCAAACGGGUGAGUAUAAUGUGGGAAUCUGCCUUUUGGUUUGGAAUAACACGGGGAAACUUGUGCUAAUACCGAAUAAGCCCUUACGGGGAAAGUUUUAAUGCCGAAAGAUGAGCCCGCACUUGAUUAGCUAGUUGGUAAGGUAAAAGCUUACCAAGGCAACGAUCAAUAGCUGGUCUGAGAGGAUGAUCAGCCACACUGGGACUGAGACACGGCCCCAGACUCCUACGGGAGCAGCAGUGGGGAAUCUUAG